AUUGGUAGUAUUAUUAGUUGUCGUAGUACCAGGUCAGUACCUGGUCAGUACUUGGAUGGGAAACUGCCUGUGAACACCGGGUGUUGUCAGCU
RNAcentral lists this ribosomal RNA (92 nucleotides) under Eptatretus burgeri (inshore hagfish). Lineage: Eukaryota; Metazoa; Chordata; Myxini; Myxiniformes; Myxinidae. The record is from RNAcentral.